UUGGGGACAGCCCCGAGGUCCCCGUGCCUUGGGGACAGCCGCGUCCCCUCCGUCCCCCCCUGUAAAUAAUAAAGCAGCGCGGGCUCGGGGCGUGCUUGUCCUUGUCACUGUGCUUGUCCCCAAACUGUCCCUGCCCCAUCCCCAUCCUGUCCCUGUCCCCAUCCUGUCCCCAUCCCCAUCCUGUCCCUGUCCCUGUCCUGUCCUUGUCCCCAUCCCCGUCCUUGUCCCUGUCCCCAUCCCCAUCCUGUCCCCAUCCCCAUCCUGUCCCCAUCCCCAUCCUGUCCUAGUCCCUGUCCUGUCCUUGUCCCCGUCCCCAUCCUUGUCCCUGUCCCAAUCCUGUCCCCACCCUGUCCCUGUCCCCAUCCCAAUCCCUGUCCCAAUUUUGUCCCAAUCUUGUCCCCACCCUGUCCCUGUCCCCAUCCCGUUCCCAUCCUGUCCUUGUCCCUAUCCCUGUCCCAAUCCUGUCUCCAUCCUGUCCCCAAUCCCGUCUCUUGUCCCCAUCCAUGUCCUUGUCCCCAUCCUGUCCCUGUCCCCGUCCUGUCCCUGUCCCCAUCCCAAUCCUGUCCCCAUCCAUGUCCCCAUCCUGUCCCUGUCCCUAUCCUGUCCUUGUCCCCGUCCCAAUCCUGUCCCCAUCCUGUCCUUGUCCCUAUCCCAUCCCCAUCCUGUCCCCAUCCCUGUCCUUGUCCCUGUCCCCAUCCUGUCCCCGUCCCCCCCACCCGCGGGUGCCGGGCGCGUGCCGAGCCCGCGGACGGACGCUGCCGCUUCCGAUGACGCCGCCGGUGACACCCUUGGGGACAUGGGGGGGGGCGUAACCCCCACAUCCCUGUGACCCCCAAAAGGGGGGGGGGGGGGGAACAGGACCCCAUAUACAGGGAGGACACCGGGAGGGGCCCUGUUGGGGUCCCACGGCCCCCCAGUGUCCCCGUCACUCUCCCCGUCACUGUCCCCGUCAUUGUCCCCGUGUCCCCGUCACUGUCCCCGUGUCCCCGCCACCGGCGUCAACAGGAAGGGGCCGGGGGGGGGGCACAGGAAGGGUGGGGGCGGACGCGGCCCCUGCAGGAAGGGGCCCGGGGGGGGCCGGGGGCACCUCGCCCUGGGGGGGGACCCACGGGGGGGAGCAGGGGGAGCAGCGCCGCCAGCACCCCGUGGAGCCCGUUGUCCUAUGGGGUCAUAGCCCCAUUGACCCCAUUGCCCUAUAAACCCCAUUGCCCUAUGGGGUCAUCCCCCAUGGAGCCGUCACCCCAUGGACCCCAUUGUCGCAUGGGGUCAUCGCCCCAUAGACCCCAUUGUGCCAUGGAGCCCAUUGUCCUAUAGAACCCGUUGCCCCAUGGAUCCUUCACCCCAUAGACCCCAUCCCCCAUAGAUCCUUCACCCCAUAGACCCCAUCACCCCAUAGACCUGCGGCCCCAUAGACCCCAUCACCCCGUAGACCCCAUAAACCCCAUUCCCCAUUAAUCCAUCACCCCAUGGAUCCUUCACCCCAUAGACCCCAUAGACCCCAUCACCCCAUAGCUCUGUCACCCCAUAGAUCCAUCACCCCAUAGCCCCCAUUGCCCCAUAGGCCCCAUAGACCCCA
This is a long non-coding RNA of Anser brachyrhynchus (Pink-footed goose), 1576 nucleotides long. The record is from Ensembl. NCBI's taxonomy places the organism in Eukaryota, Metazoa, Chordata, Aves, Anseriformes, Anatidae.